This is a non-coding RNA of Anopheles funestus (African malaria mosquito), 66 nucleotides long. The record is from Rfam. NCBI's taxonomy places the organism in Eukaryota, Metazoa, Arthropoda, Insecta, Diptera, Culicidae.
GGUAUGGAUCCGAAGCCUCUAGAAGGAUAAUAUAGGCACUCCAUACCCCACUCCGACUCAAUANNN